GAUGAAGAACGCAGCGAAAUGCGAUAAGUAAUGUGAAUUGCAGAAUUCAGUGAACCAUCGAAUCUUUGAACGCACAUUGCGCCCGCCAGUACUCUGGCGGGCAUGCCUGUCCGAGCGUCAUUUCAACCCUCAGGGCCCUCCAGCAGGGCGCUGGUGUUGGGGAUCGGCAGUCCCAGCGGCUGCCGUCCCUGAAAUGUAGUGGCGGUCCCACCGUGACCUCCCCUGUGCAGUACAUCGCUCGCAGAGGGACAGCGGUGCGGCCACGCCGUAAAACGCCCAACUCUUCAAGGUUGACCUCGGAUCAGGUAGGACUACCCGCUGAACUUAAGCAUAUCAAUAAGCGGAGGA
This 348-nucleotide unclassified non-coding RNA is filed under the name soil metagenome. Its description in RNAcentral is "partial contains 5.8S ribosomal RNA, internal transcribed spacer 2, and large subunit ribosomal RNA". The stretch from base 1 to 120 matches the Rfam family "5.8S ribosomal RNA", at positions 35 to 154 of the family's 154-position model. The record is from RNAcentral.